AGGGAGUUCAGAGGUAGAAUUCUUGCCUUUCAUGUGGGAGUCCUGGGUUUGAUUCCCAGCCU
Molecule: transfer RNA, 62 nt
Filed under: Loxodonta africana (African savanna elephant)
Lineage: Eukaryota; Metazoa; Chordata; Mammalia; Proboscidea; Elephantidae
Rfam family: tRNA
About the family: Transfer RNA (tRNA) molecules are approximately 80 nucleotides in length. Their secondary structure includes four short double-helical elements and three loops (D, anti-codon, and T loops). Further hydrogen bonds mediate the characteristic L-shaped molecular structure. tRNAs have two regions of fundamental functional importance: the anti-codon, which is responsible for specific mRNA codon recognition, and the 3' end, to which the tRNAs corresponding amino acid is attached (by aminoacyl-tRNA synthetases). tRNAs cope with the degeneracy of the genetic code in two manners: having more than one tRNA (with a specific anti-codon) for a particular amino acid; and 'wobble' base-pairing, i.e. permitting non-standard base-pairing at the 3rd anti-codon position.
Source: Rfam by way of RNAcentral